AACGCAGCAAGGGUUCACUUUAUCAUCAUUCGGGCUGUAUUAAAGAAAGUGUGAAUAAGUUCCGUGGAUGUGUAAGCCAGAUCGAGCGUAGAAAGGCAAAGCAGAACUACAAUACAUGAUAAGAUAACUCAAGCGAUGGCAUUGUACAAGGCCGAAGAUAGCAACAACAAGGCAUUCGUAUUCAUGCACUGCUGGACUAUCCUGCGGUCACAACCAAAGUGGCAUGAGAGGAUGAAUCAAUUGUCGUCGCAAAACACUUCAACAAAUAAAAAGAAGAAAUCACCCACAAAUUCAAGUCCAGAAGAUGAUGGUGCCAUUAUGGGUGAUAGUACCAUGCGUGAAAACAAUGAGAAUGGAAAUAUAAACACUGAUGUCCCCAAAAGACCAAUUGGUAGUUAGAGGGCUAAAGAAUCAUUGCGUCGAGGGGGAGGAGAUGCAUGUGUGGAGGCAUUAGAUCAUUUCUGGGCAAAAAAGAAAGAGUCUGAUGCUGAGAAAGAAGAAAUGAAAGAAAAUAGAUACAGGCAAUCAUAUGCGCUAGAUAAAGAGAGACUUGAGUGAGAACAACUAAGGGCUGCAAGUGAGCAGGUGAGGGCUCAAGCUGAUCACGCGAGGGUUGUAAAUGAAGCCAAGAGUCUCCAGAUGCAGGAAAGUGAUUCACAAUUAAAGAGGAUGUUAGAAGAAGAGAGAAUUAUGACAUUGGAUGUUAGCUCAUUGCCUCCCUUGCAGCAGCAGUUCUACAAGAGCUUACAAAAUGAGAUCAACUCUCGUCUCAGGUUGAUAGAUGGUAGGUGGCAGGAUUGUUGGCCGAACUGAUGAUGCAUUCAACAAUGUCUGCAGUUAGACUGCUGCUUGGGUGAUCUGCCGGUGCUUCCACUCUUUGCAUCAGUCAUCGGUCACAUUUUGUUUUGCAACUUGCUUAAGUGUUUUAGGAGUUUGCUCUACAAUUUAGCUAUUUUGUUUUUCAUUCAGACUAAGUUUGAAAUUUGGGUUAAGAAUUUUUCAUGAAGGAUUUAUAUUUAGUUCAGUUCA
Long non-coding RNA from Oryza brachyantha (malo sina), 1029 nucleotides. RefSeq lists it as uncharacterized. The transcript has 3 exons. NCBI's taxonomy places the organism in Eukaryota, Viridiplantae, Streptophyta, Magnoliopsida, Poales, Poaceae. The record is from RefSeq and is a predicted model, not a curated record.